AACGAACGCUGGCGGCAUGCCUAACACAUGCAAGUCGAACGAAGGCUUCGGCCUUAGUGGCGCACGGGUGCGUAACGCGUAGGAAUCUGCCCCUCGGUUCGGAAUAACAGUUAGAAACGACUGCUAAUACCGGAUGAUGACUUCGGUCCAAAGAUUUAUCGCCGAGGGAUGAGCCCGCGUAAGAUUAGGUAGUUGGUGGGGUAAAGGCCUACCAAGCCGACGAUCUUUAGCUGGUCUGAGAGGAUGAUCAGCCACACUGGGACUGAGACACGGCCCAGACUCCUACGGGAGGCAGCAGUGGGGAAUAUUGGACAAUGGGCGAAAGCCUGAUCCAGCAAUGCCGCGUGAGUGAUGAAGGCCUUAGGGUUGUAAAGCUCUUUUACCAGGGAUGAUAAUGACAGUACCUGGAGAAUAAGCUCCGGCUAACUCCGUGCCAGCCGCCGCUGUAA
RNAcentral lists this ribosomal RNA (449 nucleotides) under uncultured bacterium. Its description in RNAcentral is "partial 16S ribosomal RNA". It matches the Rfam family "Bacterial small subunit ribosomal RNA", at positions 29 to 523 of the family's 1533-position model. The record is from RNAcentral.